RNAcentral lists this ribosomal RNA (254 nucleotides) under uncultured bacterium. RNAcentral describes it as "partial 16S ribosomal RNA". It matches the Rfam family "Bacterial small subunit ribosomal RNA", at positions 524 to 776 of the family's 1533-position model. The record is from RNAcentral.
UACGGAGGAGGCAAGCGUUAUCCGGAAUUAUUGGGCGUAAAGCGUCCGUAGAUGGUCGUUUCAAGUCUGCUGUCAAAGACCGGGGCUUAACCCUGGAAAGGCCGUGGAAACUGAAUAGCUAGAGUGCAGUAGGGGUAGAGGGAAUUCCCGGUGUAGCGGUGAAAUGCGUAGAGCUCGGGAAGAACAUCGGUGGCGAAAGCGCUCUGCUGGACUGCAACUGACACUCAGGGACGAAAGCUAGGGGAGCGAAUGGG